This 157-nucleotide non-coding RNA is filed under the name zebrafish metagenome. The record is from RNAcentral.
AACGACCCGUCUGAAGGAAGCCGGUAGCGAAGCGGCGAGCCGAUGAACAAGAACCCGAUAGGAGGCUGUUCCGCGCGGGGUGAGCGGGCCAACGACCGCGAAGCUCCCGAGACCAGAGCACGGCGCAGUAGAUCGGGCGGCGGUGCUGCGAAAGCCA